This 225-nucleotide ribosomal RNA is filed under the name uncultured Flectobacillus sp. Its description in RNAcentral is "partial 16S ribosomal RNA". It matches the Rfam family "Bacterial small subunit ribosomal RNA", at positions 568 to 792 of the family's 1533-position model. The record is from RNAcentral. Lineage: Bacteria; Pseudomonadati; Bacteroidota; Cytophagia; Cytophagales; Flectobacillaceae.
UCCGUAGGCGGUCUUAUAAGUCAGUGGUGAAAUCCCAUCGCUCAACGAUGGAACUGCCAUUGAUACUGUAGGACUUGAAUGUGAUUGAGGUAGCUGGAAUGGAUAGUGUAGCGGUGAAAUGCAUAGAUAUUAUCCAGAACACCGAUUGCGAAGGCAGGUUACUAAGUCAUAACUGACGCUGAGGCACGAAAGUGUGGGGAUCAAACAGGAUUAGAUACCCCUGUA